CGGGAUAGCUCAGCUGGUAGAGCANAGGACUGAAAAUCCU
Molecule: transfer RNA, 40 nt
Filed under: Schistocarpaea johnsonii
Lineage: Eukaryota; Viridiplantae; Streptophyta; Magnoliopsida; Rosales; Rhamnaceae
Description: partial transfer RNA-Phe
Source: RNAcentral